Molecule: long non-coding RNA, 601 nt
Organism: Meriones unguiculatus (Mongolian gerbil)
Lineage: Eukaryota; Metazoa; Chordata; Mammalia; Rodentia; Muridae
Exons: 3
Source: RefSeq, a predicted model, not a curated record
AGCAGCAGAGAGAGAGAGUGAGGUCGGCUGUGUCCCAAGCAUCUCCUGGCUGAAGGCAAGAACCUGAGCUUGGGGCUGGGAUACAACGCAGCUUAAUAACGGAAACGUGGCAUAUGAAGUGUAUGGGGAGGAGACUAUUUGUGUUAGUGGAUUUAAUCAGAGAAUUUAUUCAGAAAUUGUUCUGAGGGCUGGAGAGAGGGAGCUUAGUGAGGCUCUGAGCUACAUCUGGACAACCCACCUUAAGAGGAAAGCCGUGCAUUGCUGCUCGCAAUCCCAGUGUUGUGAAGGCAGAGAUCACAGAGUCCCUGGGACCCACUGGCCAGAAAAACAGCCUCCUGGCUCUGUCUGUACAUAAGUGUGUGCACACACGUGUUUCCUGAUGACCCCUGACUCCUGUGGCUACCAAGCCUCCUGCUGGCUACCACUUCCAGCUCUAACCUCACAGGGUUGAAGAAAAAGAACAAGCCUGCCCCCUGGGGAAAGCAUGCUAAUGAAUUGUGAUCAGCCAGCUUCCUGCUCCAGCCACCUGCGGCCAUGUUGUCCCCACCCUUAUGGGCAUCCAGCCCUCUGGAACCAUAAGCCAAAAUAAACUCUCUCUCCC